RNA transcript from Polypterus senegalus (gray bichir), 950 nucleotides. It is a transcript of the gene named sodium- and chloride-dependent glycine transporter 1-like, with no coding region annotated. The record is from RefSeq and is a predicted model, not a curated record. The transcript has 2 exons. Lineage: Eukaryota; Metazoa; Chordata; Cladistia; Polypteriformes; Polypteridae.
CGGAAAAAUCUGGUCACUGUAGUUUAAUAUGCUUUUCAGUAUAGUAAGCAUGAAGGCUAACGGUGGCAUCCAUUUACAAUUUUGUGAAAUAUAAAUUUGUUUUGUCCUUCUCUGCCACCGUAGGAUUAACAAACUGAAACUUACACCAGGAAAGAUGGUGCUUCAGAGAGACCAUUGGGCAAGAAAAGCGGAGUAUUUUCUGGCUGUCGGAGGAAAUAUUGUUGGCUUAGGAAAUGUCUGGAGGUUCCCUUACCUGUGCUAUAAAAAUGGAGGAGAAUCAGCGUCUUCUACAAUUUAAGGAAAGCCUCGGGAUUUCUGCUUUAAUGAGACAAAAAUGCUGAAAAGAAACUUGACGAAUUCAUCCAGAGCUGGACAUAAAGAUCACUGAAUUACUGACAAGAAUGAACAGCUGGAUAAGCACAUCUGGAGCCAAACUUUCCUUAUGAAUGCAUCUUAUCAAAGGCUGUGGUGGAGAGUAAAUAAGUAGUCUUCCGAACUGCAGCACAACAGUGUAAAUCAUUGAUGUAAAUAGAAUUAUUGAAAGACUAAGCUUUUGUCAUUUCUGUGUUCAUAAACUAUCUUCCAGUUCCACAAUCCCCCACAGUCACUGUCACAUUUAACGUUCCGUGCUCCUUACCUGUCUUGUUACCCAAAGCAUUAACACUGAUUUUCAUUCAAAGCUUUACCGUCCUUCCUUUCAUACACAUAAAAUAAGGCACACAGUUCCUCUACAUAUGUGUCCAGUAAUAAUAAUAAUAGUAAACUGUCAGGAAUGAGAAAAAGCACAAAAUGGGAAUAUUCAUGAGAAGAGCCUGGGGAUCAGGGUGAGGAGGUGCCUUAUCUCCCAUUACAUAAGCUCAUCUGCUGCUCCUCAAUUACACUGGCAUGCGUUACACUAGUGGCAAAUGCAAUGGAGAAUACCGACAAUGUACACCUUCAGAAGUGGAAUA